GAGAUGGAUUUGUGCCUUCGGGAACUGUGAGACAGGUGCUGCAUGGCUGUCGUCAGCUCGUGUUGUGAAAUGUUGGGUUAAGUCCCGCAACGAGCGCAACCCUUAUCCUUUGUUGCCAGCGGUUAGGCCGGGAACUCAAAGGAGACUGCCAGUGAUAAACUGGAGGAAGGUGGGGAUGACGUCAAGUCAUCAUGGCCCUUACGACCAGGGCUACACACGUGCUACAAUGGCGCAUACAAAGAGAAGCGACCUCGC
Molecule: ribosomal RNA, 255 nt
Filed under: Salmonella enterica subsp. enterica serovar Dublin
Lineage: Bacteria; Pseudomonadati; Pseudomonadota; Gammaproteobacteria; Enterobacterales; Enterobacteriaceae
Description: partial 16S ribosomal RNA
Rfam family: Bacterial small subunit ribosomal RNA
Source: RNAcentral